CCUACGGGGGACAGCAGUGGGGAAUAUUGCACAAUGGGGGAAACCCUGAUGCAGCGACGCCGCGUGAGUGAAGACGUAAUUCGUUAUGUAAAGCUCUAUUAGCAGGGAAGAAAAUGACGGUACCUGAGUACGAAGCCCCGGCUAACUACGUGCCAGCAGCCGCGGUAAGACGUAGGGGGCAAGCGUUAUCCGGAUUUACUGGGUGUAAAGGGAGCGUAGACGGCAGUGCAAGUCUGGAGUGAAAGGCGGGGGCUCAACCCUCGGACUGCCCUGGAAACUGUACGGCUGGAGUGCAGGAGAGGUAAGUGGAAUUCCUAGUGUAGCGGUGAAAUGCGUAGAUAUUAGGAAGAACACCAGUGGCGAAGGCGGCUUACUGGACUGUAACUGACGUUGAGGCUCGAAAGCGUGGGGAGCAAACAGGAUUAGAUACCCUUGUAGUC
Molecule: ribosomal RNA, 440 nt
Filed under: uncultured bacterium
Lineage: Bacteria
Description: partial 16S ribosomal RNA
Rfam family: Bacterial small subunit ribosomal RNA
Source: RNAcentral